RNAcentral lists this long non-coding RNA (534 nucleotides) under Homo sapiens (human). RNAcentral's name for it is "HSALNT0240460". Lineage: Eukaryota; Metazoa; Chordata; Mammalia; Primates; Hominidae. The record is from RNAcentral.
GCCCCUUGGCCCCAGUGCUCAUUCCUGGCCAUCACAGGCCCAGAGCACAUGACGAAACCCAUCCCAAGCCCCCAGACCAGACGCCAAGAGGAGGGGGUGGAGGCAGCAAGGCUGGAGGCAUGUGUAGAAUAAAUAGAACUUUAUUCUUUAUCCAGUAGAUCUCAGUGGAAAGCCCAACAGUAACAGGUGCACCCACGGGCUCCAGGGGAAGGGGCCCCAACCCCUGGUGAAGGAGGUCGGGGCAGAGCCAGCUCCCCCAGCUGGGGGUGCAGGGGUGAGGGGAGACCCCCCUGUAGGCCCGUCCUGCGGGGUAAGGAGGGGGCACGGGGGUGGGACAGGUUGGGGGUGGGGGGCAGCUCGGGCCCCUGGCCAGCCCCUUCACAGUGGGGGCUGGGGAGCCUAGAUGAUGUGGGCCCUGACGGGAGGCAGCUCUGCCGAGGAGCCAGGUCUGGGAAAACUCUGUCCCGGGGCCCUUGCUCUGCCCUGCUCCAUGCCUCAUGGUGGGUGCAGGCAAGUCCCAGGCUGUGGGAGCAG